This 253-nucleotide ribosomal RNA is filed under the name uncultured bacterium. RNAcentral describes it as "partial 16S ribosomal RNA". It matches the Rfam family "Bacterial small subunit ribosomal RNA", at positions 524 to 776 of the family's 1533-position model. The record is from RNAcentral.
UACAGAGGGUGCAAGCGUUGUCCGGAAUUAUUGGGCGUAAAGCGCGUGUAGGCGGCUUUGCAAGUCGGGUGUGAAAUCCCUCAGCUUAACUGAGGAAGUGCGCCCGAAACUGCAGAGCUUGAGUACCGGAGAGGAUGGUGGAAUUCCCCAAGUAGAGGUGAAAUUCGUAGAUAUCAAGCGGAACACCGGUGGCGAAGGCGGCCUUCUGGACAGUGACUGACGCUGAGACGCGAAAGCCAGGGGAGCAAACGGG